Molecule: long non-coding RNA, 559 nt
Filed under: Homo sapiens (human)
Lineage: Eukaryota; Metazoa; Chordata; Mammalia; Primates; Hominidae
Description: non-protein coding lnc-PROC-1:2
Source: RNAcentral
ACGCCCACACACAGGCCACCGCCCCCACCGGCCGGACGGCGCGGGGAUUCCCAGUCCUGGCUCCGCCCCGGCCUCGGCCCCGCCCCCGCCCCUGCCCCGGGGCAGCCUGUGCUGUUCCGUGUGCGCGGCGCAUACGCACCUGGGUUGUCUCGAGCCUGCGGUAGUGGCCAGAUCCCAGACAUCCGAGUAGAUCCCGUGAAAAGCUUCUUCUUGGUUUCUUCGUACAUUCUGGAUCCACCCCUUUCAUGCAUAUUCCAGACCACAUUUCCACUGGAGCAGUUGAAAUGAGAGAGAUGGGAAUGGGACUCACCCGAACCAGAGGAAUUUUUAUUACAGACCCAUUAACAGAGGUGUCAAAGUCACAGGAACAAGGAUGUGCACCUCAGAAACACAGAGGUCAGUGGAAAAUCAGUUUGCUUCUAUUUGUUUAAAAAAUGGGGGACUUAUGCAUAAAUCUAAGACCUUCUUGAAUCUAACAUUCUAAGACCUGUAUGCCACAGAAAGGAGGGUCUCAGAACGCCGGAGGAUAGUAUUUAAAUCUUAAAUAUCUAUAUUGUUC